CUCCUACGGGAGGCAGCAGUGGGGAAUAUUGGACAAUGGGGGCAACCCUGAUCCAGCCAUGCCGCGUGAGUGACGAAGGCCCUAGGGUUGUAAAGCUCUUUCAGCUGUGACGAUGAUGACGGUAGCAGCAGAAGAAGCCCCGGCUAACUCCGUGCCAGCAGCCGCGGUAAUACGGAGGGGGCUAGCGUUGUUCGGAAUUACUGGGCGUAAAGGGCGCGCAGGCGGCGAUAUCAGUCAGGCGUGAAAGCCCCGGGCUUAACCUGGGAACUGCGUUUGAUACUGUAUUGCUAGAGACCGGAAGAGGAUGGUGGAACUCCCAGUGUAGAGGUGAAAUUCGUAGAUAUUGGGAAGAACACCGGUGGCGAAGGCGGCCAUCUGGUCCGGAUCUGACGCUGAGGCGCGAAAGCGUGGGGAGCAAACAGGAUUAGAUACCCUGGUAGUCCACGCCGUAAACGAUGUGUGCUAGGUGUCGGGCAGCUUGCUGUUCGGUGCCGCAGUUAACGCGUUAAGCACACCGCCUGGGGAGUACGGCCGCAAGGUUAAAACUCAAAGGAAUUGACGG
This 562-nucleotide ribosomal RNA is filed under the name uncultured bacterium. RNAcentral describes it as "bacterial SSU rRNA". It matches the Rfam family "Bacterial small subunit ribosomal RNA", at positions 336 to 916 of the family's 1533-position model. The record is from RNAcentral.